UGCGUAGGCGGGCUAAUAAGUCAGUGGUGAAAUCUCUCGGCUCAACCGGGAAACUGCCAUUGAUACUGUUAGUCUUGAGUUCGGUUGAGGUAGGCGGAAUGUGUAAUGUAGCGGUGAAAUGCUUAGAUAUUACACAGAACACCAAUUACGUAGGCAGCUUACUAGACCGACACUGACGCUGAGGCACGAAAGCGUGGGGAGCGAACAGGAUUAGAUACCCUGGUAGUCC
RNAcentral lists this ribosomal RNA (229 nucleotides) under uncultured bacterium. RNAcentral's name for it is "partial 16S ribosomal RNA". It matches the Rfam family "Bacterial small subunit ribosomal RNA", at positions 568 to 796 of the family's 1533-position model. The record is from RNAcentral.